UACGUAGGUGGCGAGCGUUGUCCGGAUUUACUGGGCGUAAAGAGCGCGCAGGCGGUCGUUCAAGUCGAGUGUGAAAGCCCCCGGCUUAACUGGGGAGGGUCAUUCGAUACUGAUCGACUCGAAGGCAGGAGAGGGUAGUGGAAUUCCCGGUGUAGUGGUGAAAUGCGUAGAUAUCGGGAGGAACACCAGUGGCGAAGGCGACUACCUGGCCUGUUCUUGACGCUGAGGCGCGAAAGCUAGGGGAGCAAACGGG
RNAcentral lists this ribosomal RNA (253 nucleotides) under uncultured bacterium. RNAcentral's name for it is "partial 16S ribosomal RNA". It matches the Rfam family "Bacterial small subunit ribosomal RNA", at positions 524 to 776 of the family's 1533-position model. The record is from RNAcentral.